GCACUGCCGAUGAGUCCCGCAAUAGGACGAAACGGCCGUCCAGUGC
This is a non-coding RNA of Schistosoma mattheei, 46 nucleotides long. Lineage: Eukaryota; Metazoa; Platyhelminthes; Trematoda; Strigeidida; Schistosomatidae. The record is from Rfam.